GCUGAAGCUCCAAUAUUGUGGCCACCUGAUGUGAAGAGCCAACUCAGUGGAAAAGACCCUGAUGCUGGGCAAGAUUGAGGAUAGGAGGAAAAAGGAACAACAGAGGGCGAGAUGGUUGGAUGGCAUCACUGACUCCAUGGACACGAGUUUGAACUUCUUUCUGCCAUGAGACAUCAGAACCUGAGAGUCAGUGUGUCCAGACGCAGAUGCUGAACCCCCGCCAGGCGGCAGAAGUUCAGUGUCUGCUGCCCACAGGCACGUAGACCCGAGACUCGCUGAAGCCGGAAGGUUGGUGACGCUGACUGUCACUCACCACACCACCAGCCCGUCAGCACGGCGUCCCCGAGCUGCUCACACAGGCCUUGAGCCACGACUACUCCCUCCAGGUCUGGACACACGGCUUUGAGGGCAUUAGCCCUCUGGGGCCCCUCAGCCUUGGCAAAGCAAGUAAAGAUAUUCUUUUCUACUUCACCCCCCUUCACACACACACACACACACACACACACAAAUAGACAAUGUGAUGGAAAAUAUGAGAGAAAAAUAGGAAAAUCAGAGUUAGUCCUGGAGAGUUAAACUUCUGAAAAACAGGGGUUCUUGGAAGACAGAAGAGAGGAAACAGCAGUAAGGAAAUCCUCUUGGAAAGAGCUCAGAAAACCCCCAAAUGGAGCUGAAGCAGCCUUCAGUUUCCAAGGGCAAAUGGCAAGGCAAGUGCCCAGGAGAGAGUUUGCAAACAGAAGUCAUGCCACAGCUAACCAGGACGCCAGGGUGUGGAGCCCUUGCCAGCUCCUCUGACAUACAGAGAGGGGGUCACGGCCAAAUGACCAGCAACCAAAAGGGGUCCAUACCCUACUGGGGGCGGGGGUGGAUACAUCUCCUAGUAACUUUCUUAAAAAAAAAAAAAGCAAAAU
Molecule: long non-coding RNA, 908 nt
Organism: Bos taurus (domestic cattle)
Lineage: Eukaryota; Metazoa; Chordata; Mammalia; Artiodactyla; Bovidae
Source: Ensembl